AAAAUAUAUACAUAUAAAAAUAUGCUAACAUCUCUAAGGAAGACAGACUGGCCACUGCUUCCUAUUCAAUACAGGAGCAAACAAAACGCGGUUAACACACCAUUUCACACACACACCAUUGCCACAGUUCCUGUGGGACCUUCGGGGAAAAAGCAACAAUGCAUCUUGUCAGAAGUGCCAGAUACCUAGCUACACAAACACAAACACACACACACAAAUAGCAGCACAUAAAAAUAGAAAAAGUCUACUUUUAUUUAUUGGUAAACAUAAGACAACCAAGUCUGAGCAUCUGGUGCAGUUCCCAGUGACGGCACUUGCCCUGCACACGCUCUUGAAGCACCAGGAAAAACACACAACACAGUAAGAAGGCAAAGUGGCUGGGAGUAAGGUAUCUGCAGAUUCAAACUUUGGGAUUGAAGUAGCUGGUAAACAGAAAGGCACCGAAUCAGGGUCUGGAGAGACCCGGCUGCUGGGGAGGAAUCUGGCCUGCCCAGGCAGACAGGGACAGACAUCCUCAUUUCUCCAACAGCUCCUGGAAGCCGAGUCACCCCAAGGGCUUGGAGAGCUGUUAGUCUGGCUUUGGAGCAGUGAAGGUAGCACAGUGCUCAGCAGGAAGGAGUCAAGACUUUGCUGUCGAGCACAGGGAGGCUGGUGCCUGAGGCCCAGCGUGCCAGGAUCCACGCCUCCUCCCAGGCUGCGCAGUGAGCUGGAAUCUCUCCCUCUCCUGUGGGAGCAGCUCUUCCCCUUACUGUCUGCUUCCAGCUCUGGCCUAGCUAUCUGGGACUCUUAGCCCUUCAAUUCGCUGAGGUGGGCACCAUUCCUGCUGCAGCCAACAUGGCCACUGUGGGCUGGCCCCCAGCUGGCAUAUGGAUGGCCCUCAACGAAGCCAUGGACAUGGGUCCCUCCCCAAAGGCACACUGUUAAAAAGAUCAAUUUGGCUACACCAAGGCCACCUCUUCCUAUUUGGCACGGUGAGGUACUGGGGGGUCUUGCAGUCUGGUAGGCCUGCCCCCCGCAAACCAGAGCCCAUUCUCAAAGUCCGGGCUGCUCCAUGGAAUCAGGAGUGCCUCCCUAUAGUCAGGCACUGGAAUGUAGCCCCAUGCCUGCUGGCGGACUCCAUCCAAUCAGAGGAACAGAAAGCACCCACCCCACCCUCUUUUAUUUUUGGCAUCACAAAGACCUAGUGACCAGAUUGCCUGCCGCUGCCACCUCUGGGCUGCCCUGCCUUGCUGCCCAAGCUGCUCUCAGAACAGAAAUCCUGAUACUGGUCAGAAGCCAUACAAGGUAGCUCCCAGACAUGACCACCUAGAGGCAGCUCACAGUCUUGAGUCAGGGGCCUCAGGGCCGAGGCUGACAGAUCCAGCUUCCCGGGGCCCUCUACCAGGCGGGCCCCCUAGACUUUGUCCAGCUUCCCCAAUGGCACAGGUCUAGUUUUUCAGCUGGAAAAGAGCCAAGCAGGGAACCCCUAAAGGUGAGGGGGAUUGUCAGGGAAAAUGAUACUCCUCAAGGAAUGCCUCAUCCACUUGGGCAGGGCCCCACACAGGAGGUAGGGAGUUGUUGGCUGGACCCACGGCCAACACCUGCAGCACAGGCAGAGCCGGCAGACGGGCCCAUGGACACCCAAGUGCCAGCACUGCUGUCCAGGUCUCUGGGGCAGUCUGUGGGCCAUAAUUAGGAUGAAGCCAGUCCUUUACUAGCAGAAGUCACGCAGGCCAGGGAGGAGCAGUUCAAACUCAGCAACAACGCAGCCAUGAAGAAGCCCGCUCUGUUCAAGACAGUCACCUGGAGCCACAGGUGCCACCGGGUUUCCUGAGGCAAGAGGGGAGAGCAAAGAGGCCUGCAGAGAAGAGGAUGACGUGGAGGAAGAGGAGGAACUGCUGGACUUGGAUUUGGAGGGAGCUUCGGGUUCCUGGAAAGAUAAAGGAGAAGUUGGCCGGGCGCGGUGGCUCACGCCUGUAAUCCCAGCACUUUGGGAGGCCGAGGCAGGUGGAUCACCUGAGGUCAGGAGUUCAAGACCAGCCUGGCCAACACAGUGGAGCCCUGUUUCUACUAAAAAUACAAAAAUUAGCCGGGUGUUGUGGCGCGCACCUGUAGUCCCAGCUACUGCAGAGGCUGAGGCAGGAGAAUUGCUUGAAAUCGGGAGGUGGAGGCUGCAGUGAGCCAAGAUUGUGCCACUGAACUCCAGCCUGGGCGACAGAGCGAGACUACGUCUCAAAAAAAAAAAAGAUAAAGGAGAAGGUGUCACACCUCCACUGCCUGCUCCCAGGGUCCAGAGCGCCAUGCUGUCCCCAAGGAACACUGGGCACCUUGCAGCCAUCAACUCCUGUGGCUUCCAGACCAGAGAGGCAGUCAGGUAGGAGCAACUUCUCAC
RNAcentral lists this long non-coding RNA (2371 nucleotides) under Pan troglodytes (chimpanzee). RNAcentral describes it as "long non-coding RNA NONPTRT007365". The record is from RNAcentral. Lineage: Eukaryota; Metazoa; Chordata; Mammalia; Primates; Hominidae.